UACAGAGACUGCAAGCGUUAUUCGGAUUCACUGGGCGUAAAGGGUGCGCAGGCGGCUAGGUGUGUGAGGCGUGAAAGCCCGGGGCUUAACCCCGGAAUUGCACCUCAAACUACUUGGCUAGAGCAUUGGAGAGGGUAGCAGAAUUCACGGUGUAGCAGUGAAAUGCGUAGAUAUCGUGAGGAAUACCAGAGGCGAAGGCGGCUACCUGGACAAUUGCUGACGCUCAGGCACGAAAGCGUGGGGAGCAAACAGC
Molecule: ribosomal RNA, 253 nt
Filed under: uncultured prokaryote
Description: partial 16S ribosomal RNA
Rfam family: Bacterial small subunit ribosomal RNA
Source: RNAcentral